RNAcentral lists this ribosomal RNA (499 nucleotides) under uncultured bacterium. RNAcentral's name for it is "SSU rRNA". It matches the Rfam family "Bacterial small subunit ribosomal RNA", at positions 26 to 518 of the family's 1533-position model. The record is from RNAcentral.
AGAUUGAACGCUGGCGGCGUGCCUAACACAUGCAAGUCGAGCGGUAACAGGUGUAGCAAUACAUGCUGACGAGCGGCGAACGGGUGAGUAAUGCUUUGGAAUCUUCCCAGUAGUGGGGAAUAACCAGUCGAAAGAUUGGCUAAUACCGCAUACGUCUGUAAAGGGAAAGCGGGGGCUCGUAAGACCUCGCGCUAUUGGAUGAGCCAAAGUCGGAUUAGCUAGUUGGUGGGGUAACGGCCUACCAAGGCGACAAUCCGUAGCUGGUCUGAGAGGACGACCAGCCACACCGGAACUGAGACACGGUCCGGACUCCUACGGGAGGCAGCAGUGGGGAAUAUUGGACAAUGGGGGAAACCCUGAUCCAGCGACGCCGCGUGUGUGAAGAAGGCCUGCGGGUUGUAAAGCACUUUUAUCGGGAACGAAAUACUACUGGUUAAUAACCGGUGGGGCUGACGGUACCCGAGGAAUAAGCACCGGCUAACUUCGUGCCAGCAGCCGC